GUGAGUCAUCGAAUCUUUGAACGCACCUUGCGCUCUAUGGUACUCCGUAGAGCAUGCCUGUUUGAGUGUCAUGAAAACAAUCAACCUUGACUUUGGUUUCAUUACCAUGGACUUGGAUUGGAUUUUGGGUGUUUGCCUAAUCUCAUGAUUGGCUCACCUUAAAUGAAUUAGCUGGACUUGUUUGUGAGGCUGGUUGGACUUGGCGUAAUAAGUAUUUCGCCAAGGACAUUGCUUUAGUAAUUGGCCAACCUCUCAACUGACUGUCUGCUUUCUAACUCUCGUGUUCAGUCUCAUGAUGUUGACACCUUUUUAUGAUCUGGCCUUCAAAUCAGGUAGGACUACCCGCUGAACUUAAGCAUAUCAAUAAGGCGAGG
RNAcentral lists this ribosomal RNA (374 nucleotides) under uncultured fungus. RNAcentral describes it as "eukaryotic LSU rRNA". The stretch from base 1 to 71 matches the Rfam family "5.8S ribosomal RNA", at positions 84 to 154 of the family's 154-position model. The record is from RNAcentral. Lineage: Eukaryota; Fungi.